CGUCACAUGCAGCAUUAUGACAUCGUCGACGUAAUAUUCCGUUAUUUCUUAUAAGACGUUAUUCGAAUCAGAAUAAAAACGCUAACUCUGCAAAUAUGCGUAUAUUUUGUUCUAGUUCAAGCUAGGAAGAUACAAGAGCGAAAUUUUCCACAAUAACUUGCCUAGUAAAAUCUAACGAAGUCAGCCAGCUCAGAACCUAUGACAUUGAAAACUGUAAUUUUCCAGAAGAUUUUCGUCGAAGCAGAGACGGUGUGCCUUUUUUGAAAAUCAGAGAUUUCCAUAGGAGAAUCAAAACAUAAACCCUUUGCAUUAUGGUAUCCAGAAAUAUAGAGAACCCUUCUAUCAAAGCUGGUGCAAGAUGUUGCGGAUCAAAGAAAUCAAGAAAAGCAAGAUGCAGAUUGAUAUACUGUGUGAAAUGUUGUAGGAAAACACCGACAUAUAAUUCGAAAGUUGUGAGGUUACAGAAUGGGGUUUGCGCACUGAAAGGAGGCUGCUCUAUGUGCACGUCGUUAAAAUAUAAAUUUGUUUCACCGAAGUUUGCAAGGAAGUGGAGGACGAUUUAAUGAAUCCAUGUUGAAAUAUUUUUCGAUGAAUAAAGUAAUCGACAUGCAAUGC
Long non-coding RNA from Octopus sinensis (East Asian common octopus), 615 nucleotides. RefSeq lists it as uncharacterized. Lineage: Eukaryota; Metazoa; Mollusca; Cephalopoda; Octopoda; Octopodidae. The transcript is spliced from 2 exons. The record is from RefSeq and is a predicted model, not a curated record.